CCAUGAGUAAAGCGGCGUACGGGUGAGUAACACGUGGGUAAUCUACCUUUUAGUGGGGAAUAACCCUGGGAAACCGGGGCUAAUACCGCAUAAUCCUGCAAAGGGAAAGCAGCAAUGCGCUGAAAGAGGAGCCCGCGGCCGAUUAGCUAGUUGGUGAGGUAAUGGCUCACCAAGGCGGUGAUCGGUAGCCGGCCUGAGAGGGCACACGGCCACACUGGCACUGAAACACGGGCCAG
RNAcentral lists this ribosomal RNA (236 nucleotides) under uncultured bacterium. RNAcentral's name for it is "partial 16S ribosomal RNA". It matches the Rfam family "Bacterial small subunit ribosomal RNA", at positions 84 to 334 of the family's 1533-position model. The record is from RNAcentral.